CUUUCCCCUGGUUUUGUGUCAUGCCUUUUAGACUGCAAUCCUGCAGACAGGAACUGCUGGUUCUUAUUGAUCUUCUGGAAGUUGCCCUGGGAGCCUUACAGAAGAGCAAGCUGGAAGCAUUGUUGGGAUCAAAUAGAAGGAAGAGAUGAAUGCACCCUUUGGCUGCUGCAGCUUGAUGGAAAUGACAGAAGGCUGGGGCAAAACAACAACAACAACAACGGAGCAAGUAUCCAUGAGGAGUUCUGUUUGAAUAUGCUGGGGCAAUAAGCCUCACUUCGGUGAAGAAUGGGCCUCCAUGAUAUAUUUUGCUCAGCUAACUGCUUGCUACAGAGCCCCUUUCAGCUAUAAAACCAUCCAGUAGAAACAUGAAGAAAGCCAGCUUUCUGAGGUCAUAUCCAGGACCUAUGUUCUAUAGGAUCUUUAGAGCUGACCCAGUCAAGAUCUCAUAUUGUUCUCUGACCACCCGACGAACAAGAUUGAUUAGGCUUACGAAUAUAUAUUUCCUGAAGUUUCUCUGCAGAAAGCCUCCAGUCUGUCAUCAUUGCCAACUGUCAUACACCACUGCUAAAGUCAGAAUGUUCUGUAAUGAUCACUCUCUGACCACAUUUGCACUCUACAGCUCUGUCUGUACUCACAAUGGGCCCAAACAGUUGAAAAUACAUUGUUUACCUAAUUGCCUAUUAUGUCAAAUGAAUUUAAAAAAGCAAAGGAUUCUCACUUUUAAAAUCUGAAUA
Long non-coding RNA from Rhineura floridana, 734 nucleotides. RefSeq lists it as uncharacterized. The record is from RefSeq and is a predicted model, not a curated record. The transcript has 3 exons. NCBI's taxonomy places the organism in Eukaryota, Metazoa, Chordata, Lepidosauria, Squamata, Rhineuridae.